CUGGCAGCAACCUGUCCUUUGACUACGCGUCUGGCUGUACCUGCAUACACGACCCGUCAGAUAUUCACACUAUUCCUCUGAAGAUGCUCUGCCAGAACAUGAAGCGGCAGAUAGUCUCCAGAGCCUUCUAUGGAUGGCUGGCAUACUGUCGACACCUGUCCACAGUGCGGACUCACCUGUCAGCUCUGGUCAACCACAACAUCGUCCCCC
Maylandia zebra (zebra mbuna) is the source of this 210-nucleotide non-coding RNA. The record is from RefSeq and is a predicted model, not a curated record. NCBI's taxonomy places the organism in Eukaryota, Metazoa, Chordata, Actinopteri, Cichliformes, Cichlidae.